GCAGUGACCGUGUAGGUGGAAGCAGCAGUGGAGGAGGAGGAUGUAGCCAACACUGUUUUAUAUAUAUAUAUAUAUAUAUAUAUAUAUUUUUUUUUUUUUUAAUUGGGGUAGCCCCCAAAAUAUUGGGACAUAUAAAAAAAGACAACUCUGUUCCGCAGAGUAGCUGUUGACAUUAUAGUUGUGCAGGCACUUUGUUGACUUUAGAGAACCUCGGGCCAAUCGCACAUCCCUGUGGCGGCGACUUUGCAUUCGGAUGUCAUCCAUAUCAACUUUCGAUGCCAGUUUCUGCGCCUACCAUGGUGACCACGAGUAACAGGGAAUCCAGGUUCCAUUCCGUACAGGGAACCUGAGAAACGGCUACCACAUGCAAGAAAGGCAUCAGGCGCGCAAAUGACCCACUCCCGAUGAGGGUAGGUAGUGAU
Non-coding RNA from Pelobates cultripes (western spadefoot toad), 422 nucleotides. The record is from the annotation of a GenBank genome assembly. Lineage: Eukaryota; Metazoa; Chordata; Amphibia; Anura; Pelobatidae.